This 107-nucleotide small nuclear RNA is filed under the name Zalophus californianus (California sea lion). The record is from RNAcentral. Lineage: Eukaryota; Metazoa; Chordata; Mammalia; Carnivora; Otariidae.
GUGCUUGCUUCAACAGCAUAAAUACUAAAACUGGAAUGAAACAGAGAAGAUUAACAUGGCCUCUGAGAAAAGUUUACAUGCAAAUUCAUGAAAUGUUCUGCCUUUUA